GUCACAAGAGCAAAUCGGUCUCACUGGAAACUACUUUCAUUAAACUUUGUUGCAUUGUAAGAAGUUUUAAAAAUAUUUGAUAUCAAAACAGUUUGAGCAGCAGGAAGACACCCGUGCUCACUGCCGUAACACCUCAGUCUUCAGUUUGCAGCAAAACAACAUGGAUGUCAGAGCUCUCGGCAUCAGACUGUUGAUGACCUUUAUGAUUCUGCUGGUUGUUCAGGGUGAGAGAGUUGAUGAUGACAUGUUAUCUUCUAGAGCCAUUUACACCACCUUACGCCCGGGUGAGGCUAAACUCAAAGGUCUCAAAAAGAGCUGAAUGAAGACAAAAAUCACAUCUGAGAGAAAUUGACAUCGAUGAUGUAAUCCACAUUUAUAACAUAUUGUUAUUGCAAAUGAACAUGUACAUCAUCUGCUGGGUAAAUAACUGAACUACAAAGAGCUAUAAGUACCAAUAAAGUUCACAUCCUAACAAA
Molecule: long non-coding RNA, 476 nt
Organism: Oreochromis aureus
Lineage: Eukaryota; Metazoa; Chordata; Actinopteri; Cichliformes; Cichlidae
Exons: 4
Source: RefSeq, a predicted model, not a curated record